GAUGAACGCUAGCGGCAGGCUUAACACAUGCAAGUCGAGGGGUAGAAGCUUUCGGGCUUUGAGACCGGCGCACGGGUGCGUAACGCGUAUGCAAUCUGCCUUACACUAAGGGAUAGCCCAGAGAAAUUUGGAUUAAUACCUUAUAGUAUAUUGAUGUGGCAUCACAUUAUUAUUAAAGAUUUAUCGGUGUAAGAUGAGCA
Molecule: ribosomal RNA, 200 nt
Filed under: uncultured bacterium
Lineage: Bacteria
Description: partial 16S ribosomal RNA
Rfam family: Bacterial small subunit ribosomal RNA
Source: RNAcentral